GACGAACGCUGGCGGCGUGCUUAACACAUGCAAGUCGAACGGAAAGGCCCUGCUUGCGGGGUACUCGAGUGGCGAACGGGUGAGUAACACGUGGGUGAUCUGCCCUGCACUUCGGGAUAAGCCUGGGAAACUGGGUCUAAUACCGGAUAGGAGCCAUUUUUAGUGUGAUGGUUGGAAAGUUUUUUCGGUGUAGGAUGAGCUCGCGGCCUAUCAGCUUGUUGGGGGGGUAAUGGCCUACCAAGGCGGCGACGGGUAGCCGGCCUGAGAGGGUGGACGGCCACAUGGGGACGGGGAUACGGCCCGGACUCCUACGGGGGGCAGCAGUGGGGAAUAUUGCACAAGGGGCGCAAGCCGGAGGAAGCGACGCCGCGUGGGGGAUGACGGCCUUCGGGUUGUAAACGCCUUUCGCUAGGGACGAAGCUUUUGUGACGGUACCUAGAGAAGAAGCACCGGCUAACUACGUG
This 464-nucleotide ribosomal RNA is filed under the name uncultured bacterium. RNAcentral's name for it is "partial 16S ribosomal RNA". It matches the Rfam family "Bacterial small subunit ribosomal RNA", at positions 28 to 507 of the family's 1533-position model. The record is from RNAcentral.